AUUGAACGCUGGCGGCAGGCCUAACACAUGCAAGUCGAGCGGAUGAAGGGAGCUUGCUCCUGGAUUCAGCGGCGGACGGGUGAGUAAUGCCUAGGAAUCUGCCUGGUAGUGGGGGAUAACGUCCUGAAACGGGCGCUAAUACCACAUACGUCCUGAGGGAGACAGUGGGGGAUCUUCGGACCUCACGCUAUCAGAUGAGCCUAGGUCGGAUUAGCUAGUUGGUGGGGUAACGGCCUACCAAGGCGACGAUCCGUAACUGGUCUGAGAGGAUGAUCAGUCACACGGGAAGAGAGACACGGUCCAGACUCCUACGGGAGGCAGCAGUGGGGAAUAUUGGACAAUGGGCGAAAGCCUGAUCCAGCCAUGCCGCGUGUGUGAAGAUGGUCUUCGGAUUGUAAAGCACUUUAAGUUGGGAGGAAGGGCAGUAAGUUAAUACCUUGCUGUUUUGACGUUACCAACAGAAUAAGCACCGGCUAACUUCGUG
Molecule: ribosomal RNA, 484 nt
Filed under: uncultured bacterium
Lineage: Bacteria
Description: partial 16S ribosomal RNA
Rfam family: Bacterial small subunit ribosomal RNA
Source: RNAcentral